UCCUCCCCCAUUUUUCUCUCCCACGAAAUCCCAUUUUUCCCAUUCCCUUCCCGUUUCUUAAUCACUUUUUAUUUUUUUUUUCUUCCUCACCCACAGCAAAUUCGUUCUGCUCUCGCUCUUCCUCAUUCGCGUGCUGGUCGGAGAUCUUGAGUGCUGCACGCCGCCGACCUUGCGUCUCAAGCCUUAGCCGCCGAUGACUUCCACCGCCUAAUCGACGCCGUGAGGCUUUGGUGCUGCGAUUUUGAAGGUGCAGCCCGUGGGUUUUUGGUGGAUCUUCCCUGCGAUUUUGUGUUGUUUUGGUGGUGUAAUUUCGCUGUUCUCCUCGGAUCCUCACAACCGUAGAGCCUCAAACCGAAAACAGUUCAUAGCGUUUAGGGCAGAAUUUUACGACUGGACAGCGUUGCUUCGCUCCCUUCUUCCACCGAUCACCACACGACGCUAGGUGACGAGACUAGUAGUAGUCGAAUUCAAGACAUAGAUAAUACACUGCAGGAGUCAGCAAAGUGGUUUUUAUGUGGUUUUUCCUGUGUGCACACUCGGGGCUCCGAGAAUAAUAAGGGGAAGAUUCAUCUCUGUCUCUUCCUGGUUUGGCCACUGGGGAUAGCACAACCCUACCACAGAGAUAAUGUGGAGGGUCCAACUAAGGACCAGGAAUAGGAAGUAUGAGCAUGACUAAGCUGAGGAGAAGGGGGUCGAGUACCUUACGGUACUACUGUAAAAGAUGGAAUUCUGAUGUCUUUUAGUUAUAUUUAUGUAUUUGGUUUAAUAGGACUUAAAGACUUAUUAGUUUAUUAUGUUGAGACUACUGAGAGAUUAUGAACCCCUUAGUUUAUGUUAUUAUUAUAGUGAUGAUUUUGUGGAGUUUAUAAUGUGUCUAUUUGGAAAAUAUAAGAUUUUUACUGUUUAUGAAA
Long non-coding RNA from Juglans regia (Persian walnut), 911 nucleotides. RefSeq lists it as uncharacterized. The record is from RefSeq and is a predicted model, not a curated record. NCBI's taxonomy places the organism in Eukaryota, Viridiplantae, Streptophyta, Magnoliopsida, Fagales, Juglandaceae. The transcript is spliced from 6 exons.